UUCGAGGUAGUGACGAGAAAUAACAAUACAGGGCAUUUUAUGCUCUGUAAUUGGAAUGAUGGGAAUGUAAAACCCUUCCAGAGUAACAAUUGGAGGGCAAGUCUGGUGCCAGCAGCCGCGGUAAUUCCAGCUCCAAUAGUGUAUAUUAGAGUUGUUGCAGUUAAAAAGCUCGUAGUUGGAUUUCUGUCGUGGUCAUCCGGCUCCGCCCGUAUGGGUGUGCGCCUGGUUUGCCCUCGGCUUUCUUCCGGUAGCCUUCCGCGCUUCACUGCGUGUGUUGGUGUUCUGGAACUUUUACUUUGAGAAAAAUAGAGUGUUUCAAGCAGGCUUGUCGCCCUGAAUACUUCAGCAUGGAAUAAUAAGAUA
This 363-nucleotide ribosomal RNA is filed under the name Eimeria jerfinica. RNAcentral's name for it is "SSU rRNA". It matches the Rfam family "Eukaryotic small subunit ribosomal RNA", at positions 458 to 824 of the family's 1831-position model. Lineage: Eukaryota; Apicomplexa; Conoidasida; Eucoccidiorida; Eimeriidae. The record is from RNAcentral.